GGCGGCAGGCUUAACACAUGCAAGUCGAGCGGUAGCAGAUCUAGCUUGCUAGAUGCUGACGAGCGGCGGACGGGUGAGUAAUGCGUAGGAACCUGCCCAGUAGUGGGGGAUAGCCCGGGGAAACUCGGAUUAAUACCGCAUACGCUCUACGGAGGAAAGAGGGGCUUCGGCUCUCGCUAUUGGAUGGGCCUGCGUGAGAUUAGCUAGUUGGUGAGGUAAUGGCUCACCAAGGCGACGAUCUCUAGCUGGUCUGAGAGGAUGAUCAGCCACACUGGGACUGAGACACGGCCCAGACUCCUACGGGAGGCAGCAGUGGGGAAUAUUGCACAAUGGGCGCAAGCCUGAUGCAGCCAUGCCGCGUGUGUGAAGAAGGCGUUCGGGUUGUAAAGCACUUUCAGUGGGGAGGAAGGCCUCGUAGUUAAUAGCUGCGAGGAUUGACGUUACCCACAGAAGAAGCACCGGCUAACUCCGUG
Molecule: ribosomal RNA, 473 nt
Filed under: uncultured bacterium
Lineage: Bacteria
Description: bacterial SSU rRNA
Rfam family: Bacterial small subunit ribosomal RNA
Source: RNAcentral